CAGAUCUUCCCUCCAAGACUUCUGAGGAGCCCUGGGAUGAAGAGCUGGUUUCUGUCUGGGUGUUUAGGAGCUCCCAGGGGCACAUGGGAAGUUCUGUGUGACGAGUCUUUACAUCAGGACGAGAGGAAACAACCUGGUCAGGUCAGUGUUGGUUCCACCACCUCCACCAGAGGUGCUGUCACACUCACAUCCUCAACUACCUCCAUUUCUGCUGCUGCUUUGUCCAGUGUGGGCUAAAGAAGAUCAAGGA
Mugil cephalus (flathead mullet) is the source of this 250-nucleotide long non-coding RNA. RefSeq lists it as uncharacterized. NCBI's taxonomy places the organism in Eukaryota, Metazoa, Chordata, Actinopteri, Mugiliformes, Mugilidae. The transcript is spliced from 3 exons. The record is from RefSeq and is a predicted model, not a curated record.